UGCCAGCAGCCGCGGUAAUACGGAGGGGGUUAGCGUUGUUCGGAAUCACUGGGCAUAAAGGGCUCGUAGGCGGCAAUCUAAGUCAGCUGUGAAAGACCCCGGCUUAACCGGGGGAACGCAACUGAUACUGGGUAGCUAGAGCAUGGCAGGGGGAAGUGGAAUUCCAGGUGGAGCGGUGAAAUGCGUAGAUAUCUGGAGGAACACCAGUGGCGAAAGCGACUUCCUGGGCCAUUGCUGACGCUGAGGGGCGAAAGCUAGGGGAGCGAACGGGAUUAGAUA
Molecule: ribosomal RNA, 279 nt
Filed under: uncultured bacterium
Lineage: Bacteria
Description: partial 16S ribosomal RNA
Rfam family: Bacterial small subunit ribosomal RNA
Source: RNAcentral